This 501-nucleotide ribosomal RNA is filed under the name uncultured bacterium. RNAcentral's name for it is "partial 16S ribosomal RNA". It matches the Rfam family "Bacterial small subunit ribosomal RNA", at positions 30 to 523 of the family's 1533-position model. The record is from RNAcentral.
AUUGAACGCUGGCGGCAGGCUUAACACAUGCAAGUCGAGCGGGGGAAGGUAGCUUGCUACCGGACCUAGCGGCGGACGGGUGAGUAAUGCUUAGGAAUCUGCCUAUUAGUGGGGGACAACAUCUCGAAAGGGAUGCUAAUACCGCAUACGUCCUAUGGGAGAAAGCAGGGGAUCUUCGGACCUUGCGCUAAUAGAUGAGCCUAAGUCGGAUUAGCUAGUUGGUGGGGUAAAGGCCUACCAAGGCGACGAUCUGUAGCGGGUCUGAGAGGGUGAUCCGCCACACUGGGACUGAGACACGGCCCAGACUCCUACGGGAGGCAGCAGUGGGGAAUAUUGGACAAUGGGGGGAACCCUGAUCCAGCCAUGCCGCGUGUGUGAAGAAGGCCUUAUGGUUGUAAAGCACUUUAAGCGAGGAGGAGGCUACUCUAGUUAAUACCUAGGGAUAGUGGACGUUACUCGCAGAACAAGCACCGGCUAACUCUGUGCCAGCCGCCGCCGUAA